This 461-nucleotide ribosomal RNA is filed under the name uncultured bacterium. Its description in RNAcentral is "partial 16S ribosomal RNA". It matches the Rfam family "Bacterial small subunit ribosomal RNA", at positions 338 to 795 of the family's 1533-position model. The record is from RNAcentral.
CCUACGGGUGGCUGCAGUGAGGAAUAUUGGUCAAUGGACGCAAGUCUGAACCAGCCAUGCCGCGUGCAGGAAGACGGCUCUAUGAGUUGUAAACUGCUUUUGUACGAGGGUAAACGCAGAUACGCGUAUCUGUCUGAAAGUAUCGUACGAAUAAGGAUCGGCUAACUCCGUGCCAGCAGCCGCGGUAAUACGGAGGAUUCAAGCGUUAUCCGGAUUUAUUGGGUUUAAAGGGUGCGUAGGGGGGCGGAUAAGUUAGAGGUGAAAUGCCCCCGCUCAACGGGGUGAAGUGCCGUUGAUACUGGCUGGCUGGAAUGCGGAUGACGUGGGAGGAAUGUGUGGUGUAGCGGUGAAAUGCAUAGAUAUCACACAGAACACCGAUUGCGAAGGCAUCUCACGAAUCCGCGAUUGACGCUGAUGCACGAAAGCGUGGGUAUCAAACAGGAUUAGAUACCCCUGUAGUC